CCUACGGGAGGCAGCAGUGAGGAAUAUUGGUCAAUGGACGAGAGUCUGAACCAGCCAAGUAGCGUGAAGGAUGACUGCCCUAUGGGUUGUAAACUUCUUUUAUAUGGGAAUAAAAUGGUCCACGUGUGGGGUUUUGUAGGUAACAUAUGAAUAAGGAUUGGCUAACUCCGUGCCAGCAGCCGCGGGAAUAAGGAGGAUACGAGCGUUAUCCGGAUUUAUUGGGUUUAAAGGGAGCGUUGGUGGAUUGGUAAGUCAGUUGUGAAAGUUUGGGGCUCAACCGUAAAAUUGCAGUUGAAACUGGCAGUCUUGAGUACAGUAGAGGUGGGCGGAAUUCGUGGUGUAGCGGUGAAAUGCUUAGAUAUCACGAAGAACUCCGAUUGCGAAGGCAGCUCACUGGACUGCAACUGACACUGAGGCUCGAAAGUGUGGGUAUCAAACAGGAUUAGAUACCCUGGUAGUC
This 460-nucleotide ribosomal RNA is filed under the name uncultured bacterium. RNAcentral describes it as "partial 16S ribosomal RNA". It matches the Rfam family "Bacterial small subunit ribosomal RNA", at positions 338 to 795 of the family's 1533-position model. The record is from RNAcentral.